GCCCGGAUGGUGAAACUGGUAGACACAAGGGACUUAAAAUCCCUCGCCGCAAGGUGUGCGGGUUCGAUCCCCGCUCCGGGCA
This 82-nucleotide transfer RNA is filed under the name Rhodocyclaceae bacterium. Its description in RNAcentral is "tRNA-Leu". It matches the Rfam family "tRNA". Rfam says of the family: Transfer RNA (tRNA) molecules are approximately 80 nucleotides in length. The record is from RNAcentral. Lineage: Bacteria; Pseudomonadati; Pseudomonadota; Betaproteobacteria; Rhodocyclales; Rhodocyclaceae.